AGAGUUUGAUCCUGGCUCAGGACGAACGCUGGCGGCGUGCCUAAUACAUGCAAGUAGAACGCUGAAGAGAGGAGCUUGCUCUUCUUGGAUGAGUUGCGAACGGGUGAGUAACGCGUAGGUAACCUGCCUUGUAGCGGGGGAUAACUAUUGGAAACGAUAGCUAAUACCGCAUAACAAUGGAUGACACAUGUCAUUUAUUUGAAAGGGGCAAUUGCUCCACUACAAGAUGGACCUGCGUUGUAUUAGCUAGUAGGUGAGGUAACGGCUCACCUAGGCGACGAUACAUAGCCGACCUGAGAGGGUGAUCGGCCACACUGGGACUGAGACACGGCCCAGACUCCUACGGGAGGCAGCAGUAGGGAAUCUUCGGCAAUGGGGGCAACCCUGACCGAGCAACGCCGCGUGAGUGAAGAAGGUUUUCGGAUCGUAAAGCUCUGUUGUAAGUCAAGAACGAGUGUGAGAGUGGAAAGUUCACACUGUGACGGUAGCUUACCAGAAAGGGACGGCUAACUACGUGCCAGCAGCCGCGGUAAUACGUAGGUCCCGAGCGUUGUCCGGAUUUAUUGGGCGUAAAGCGAGCGCAGGCGGUUUGAUAAGUCUGAAGUUAAAGGCUGUGGCUCAACCAUAGUUCGCUUUGGAAACUGUCAAACUUGAGUGCAGAAGGGGAGAGUGGAAUUCCAUGUGUAGCGGUGAAAUGCGUAGAUAUAUGGAGGAACACCGGUGGCGAAAGCGGCUCUCUGGUCUGUAACUGACGCUGAGGCUCGAAAGCGUGGGGAGCGAACAGGAUUAGAUACCCUGGUAGUCCACGCCGUAAACGAUGAGUGCUAGGUGUUGGAUCCUUUCCGGGAUUCAGUGCCGCAGCUAACGCAUUAAGCACUCCGCCUGGGGAGUACGACCGCAAGGUUGAAACUCAAAGGAAUUGACGGGGGCCCGCACAAGCGGUGGAGCAUGUGGUUUAAUUCGAAGCAACGCGAAGAACCUUACCAGGUCUUGACAUCCCGAUGCUAUUUCUAGAGAUAGAAAGUUACUUCGGUACAUCGGUGACAGGUGGUGCAUGGUUGUCGUCAGCUCGUGUCGUGAGAUGUUGGGUUAAGUCCCGCAACGAGCGCAACCCCUAUUGUUAGUUGCCAUCAUUCAGUUGGGCACUCUAGCGAGACUGCCGGUAAUAAACCGGAGGAAGGUGGGGAUGACGUCAAAUCAUCAUGCCCCUUAUGACCUGGGCUACACACGUGCUACAAUGGUUGGUACAACGAGUUGCGAGUCGGUGACGGCAAGCUAAUCUCUUAAAGCCAAUCUCAGUUCGGAUUGUAGGCUGCAACUCGCCUACAUGAAGUCGGAAUCGCUAGUAAUCGCGGAUCAGCACGCCGCGGUGAAUACGUUCCCGGGCCUUGUACACACCGCCCGUCACACCACGAGAGUUUGUAACACCCGAAGUCGGUGAGGUAACCUUUUGGAGCCAGCCGCCUAAGGUGGGAUAGAUGAUUGGGGUGAAGUCGUAACAAGGUAGCCGUAUCGGAAGGUGCGGCUGGAUCACCU
Molecule: ribosomal RNA, 1536 nt
Filed under: Streptococcus salivarius
Lineage: Bacteria; Bacillati; Bacillota; Bacilli; Lactobacillales; Streptococcaceae
Also listed under: 2 other names
Description: bacterial SSU rRNA
Rfam family: Bacterial small subunit ribosomal RNA
Source: RNAcentral